Molecule: ribosomal RNA, 484 nt
Filed under: uncultured bacterium
Lineage: Bacteria
Description: partial 16S ribosomal RNA
Rfam family: Bacterial small subunit ribosomal RNA
Source: RNAcentral
AUUGAACGCUGGCGGCAGGCCUAACACAUGCAAGUCGAGCGGAUGAAGGGAGCUUGCUCCUGGAUUCAGCGGCGGACGGGUGAGUAAUGCCUAGGAAUCUGCCUGGUAGUGGGGGAUAACGUCCGGAAACGGGCGCUAAUACCGCAUACUUCCUGAGGGAGAAAGUGGGGGAGCUUCGGACCUCACGCUAGCAGAGGAGCCUAGGUCGGAUUAGCUAGUUGGUGGGGUAAAUGCCUACCAAGGCGACGAUCCGUAACUGGUCUGAGAGGAUGAUCAGUCACACUGGAACUGAGACACGGUCCAGACUCCUACGGGAGGCAGCAGUGGGGAAUAUUGGACAAUGGGCGAAAGCCUGAUCCAGCCAUGCCGCGUGUGUGAAGAAGGUCUUCGGAUUGUAAAGCACUUUAAGUUGGGAGGAAGGGCAGUAAGUUAAUACCUUGCUGUUUUGACGUUACCAACAGAAUAAGCACCGGCUAACUUCGUG